Molecule: ribosomal RNA, 427 nt
Filed under: uncultured bacterium
Lineage: Bacteria
Description: bacterial SSU rRNA
Rfam family: Bacterial small subunit ribosomal RNA
Source: RNAcentral
UGGGGAAUUUUGGACAAUGGGCGCAAGCCUGAUCCAGCAAUGCCGCGUGCAGGAUGAAGGCCUUCGGGUUGUAAACUGCUUUUGUACGGAGCGAAAAGGUCUGCCCUAAUACGGUGGGCUCAUGACGGUACCGUAAGAAUAAGCACCGGCUAACUACGUGCCAGCAGCCGCGGUAAUACGUAGGGUGCGAGCGUUAAUCGGAAUUACUGGGCGUAAAGCGUGCGCAGGCGGUUGUGUAAGUCAGAUGUGAAAUCCCCGGGCUCAACCUGGGAAUUGCAUUUGAGACUGCACGGCUAGAGUGUGUCAGAGGGGGGUAGAAUUCCACGUGUAGCAGUGAAAUGCGUAGAUAUGCGGAGGAACACCGAUGGCGAAGGCAAUCCCCUGGACCUGUACUGACGCUCAUGCACGAAAGCGUGGGGAGCAAACA